This 253-nucleotide ribosomal RNA is filed under the name uncultured bacterium. RNAcentral's name for it is "partial 16S ribosomal RNA". It matches the Rfam family "Bacterial small subunit ribosomal RNA", at positions 524 to 776 of the family's 1533-position model. The record is from RNAcentral.
UACGGAGGAUGCAAGCGUUAUCCGGAAUGAUUGGGCGUAAAGCGUCCGCCGGGGGCUAUGUAAGUCUGCUGUUAAAGAGUGAGGCUCAACCUCAUAAGAGCAGUGGAAACUACAUGGCUAGAGUGCGUUCGGGGCAGAGGGAAUUCCUGGUGUAGCGGUGAAAUGCGUAGAGAUCAGGAAGAACACCGGUGGCGAAAGCGCUCUGCUAGGCCGCAACUGACACUGAGGGACGAAAGCUAGGGGAGCGAAUGGG